CCAAUAGCGUAUAUUAAAGUUGUUGCAGUUAAAAAGCUCGUAGUUGAAUUUCGGGGUUUAUCCGUUGGUCGGGCUUUUUGGUCUGUACUGGCGUGAUGGAUUCCUACCUUCUGAAUAACCGGCAUGCCAUUAAUUUGGUGCGCCGGGGAAGCAGGACUGUUACCUUGAAAAAAUUAGAGUGCUUAAAGCAGGCUUAUGCCUGAAUACAUUAGCAUGGAAUAAUGAAAUAGGACGGCAUGGUUCUAUUUUGUUGGUUUCUAGGAUCACCGUAAUGAUUAAUAGGGAUAGUUGGGGGCAUUAGUAUUCAAUUGUCAGAGGUGAAAUUCUUGGAUUUAUUGAAGACUAACUUCUGCGAAAGCAUUUGCCAAGGAUGUUUUCAUUAAUCAAGAACGAAAGUUAGGGGAUCGAAGACGAUCAGAUACCGUCGUAGUCUUAACCAUAAACUAUGCCGACUAGGGAUCGGACGAUGUUAAUUUUUUAAUGACUCGUUCGGCGCCUUACG
RNAcentral lists this ribosomal RNA (502 nucleotides) under uncultured Glomeromycotina. Its description in RNAcentral is "partial small subunit ribosomal RNA". It matches the Rfam family "Eukaryotic small subunit ribosomal RNA", at positions 591 to 1092 of the family's 1831-position model. Lineage: Eukaryota; Fungi; Glomeromycota. The record is from RNAcentral.